UACGGAGGGUGCGAGCGUUGUCCGGAAUCAUUGGGCGUAAAGGGCGCGUAGGUGGCUUCUUAAGCGGGCGGUGAAAGCCUGGGGCUCAACCCCGGGUCGGCCGUGCGAACUGGGGGGCUUGAGCACUGUAGAGGCAGGCGGAAUUCCGGGUGUAGCGGUGGAAUGCGUAGAGAUCCGGAGGAACACCGACGGCGUAGGCAGCGCCCUGGCUGUGAAUAAAGCUGACACUGAGGCACGAAAGCUGGGGGAGCAAACAGG
RNAcentral lists this ribosomal RNA (258 nucleotides) under uncultured bacterium. RNAcentral's name for it is "partial 16S ribosomal RNA". It matches the Rfam family "Bacterial small subunit ribosomal RNA", at positions 524 to 776 of the family's 1533-position model. The record is from RNAcentral.